This 1328-nucleotide ribosomal RNA is filed under the name Cafius seriatus. Its description in RNAcentral is "SSU rRNA". It matches the Rfam family "Eukaryotic small subunit ribosomal RNA", at positions 67 to 1329 of the family's 1831-position model. Lineage: Eukaryota; Metazoa; Arthropoda; Insecta; Coleoptera; Staphylinidae. The record is from RNAcentral.
AAGCCAAAUUAAGGUGAAACCGCGAAAGGCUCAUUAAAUCAGUUAUGGUUCCUUAGAUCUUACCACUUUCCACUUGGAUACCUGUGGUAAUUCUAGAGCUAAUACAUGCGAACAGAGCUCCGACCGGAGACGGGAGGAGUGCUUUUAUUAGAACAAAACCAAUCGGCGGCCGGCUUUGCGCCGUUCGUCGUACAACUUGGUGAAUCUGAAUAACUUAGCUGAUCGCGCACGGUCUCGCACCGGCGACGUAUCUUUCAAAUGUCUGCCUUAUCAACUGUCGAUGGUAGGUUCUGCGCCUACCAUGGUUGUAACGGGUAACGGGGAAUCAGGGUUCGAUUCCGGAGAGGGAGCCUGAGAAACGGCUACCACAUCCAAGGAAGGCAGCAGGCGCGCAAAUUACCCACUCCCGGCACGGGGAGGUAGUGACGAAAAAUAACGAUACGGGACUCAUCCGAGGCCCCGUAAUCGGAAUGAGUACACUUUAAAUCCUUUAACAAGGAUCAAUUGGAGGGCAAGUCUGGUGCCAGCAGCCGCGGUAACUCCAGCUCCAAUAGCGUAUAUUAAAGUUGUUGCGGUUAAAAAGCUCGUAGUCGAAUCUGUGUCCCGCGCCGCCGGUUCAUCGCUCGCGGUGUUCAACUGGCGUGCCCGCGGGACGUCCUGCCGGCGAGCUUAGCCCGCGAGGGCGGCUCAACUUGAAAUCCCGUCGCGGUGCUCUUCACUGAGUGUCGAGGUGGGCCGGCACGAUUACUUUUGAACAAAUUAGAGUGCUUAAAGCAGGCUAAAACUUUGCCUGAAUACUGUGUAUAUAGAAUAAUGUAAUAGGACCUCGGUUCUAUUUUGUUGGUUUUCGGAACCCCGAGGUAAUGAUUAAUAGGAACGGAUGGGGGCAUUCGUAUUGCGACGUUAGAGGUGAAAUUCUUGGAUCGUCGCAAGACGGACUAAAGCGAAAGCAUUUGCCAAAAACGCUUUCAUUGAUCAAGAACGAAAGUUAGAGGUUCGAAGGCGAUCAGAUACCGCCCUAGUUCUAACCAUAAACUAUGCCAGCUAGCGAUCCGCCGACGUCCCUCUGAUGACUCGGCGGGCAGCUUCCGGGAAACCAAAGCUUUUGGGUUCCGGGGGAAGUAUGGUUGCAAAGCUGAAACUUAAAGGAAUUGACGGAAGGGCACCACCAGGAGUGGAGCCUGCGGCUUAAUUUGACUCAACACGGGACACCUCACCAGGCCCGGACACUGGAAGGAUUGACAGAUUGAGAGCUCUUUCUUGAUUCAGUGGGUGGUGGUGCAUGGCCGUUCUUAGUCGGUGGAGCGAUUUGUCAGGUUAAUUCCGAU